GGGUGUAUAGCUUAGUUGGUAGAGCAUUGGGCCUUUAACCUAAUGGUCGCAGGUUCAAGUCCUGCUAUACCCA
This 73-nucleotide transfer RNA is filed under the name Nicotiana attenuata. RNAcentral describes it as "tRNA tRNA-Lys". It matches the Rfam family "tRNA". From Rfam's summary of the family: Transfer RNA (tRNA) molecules are approximately 80 nucleotides in length. Their secondary structure includes four short double-helical elements and three loops (D, anti-codon, and T loops). The record is from Rfam by way of RNAcentral. Lineage: Eukaryota; Viridiplantae; Streptophyta; Magnoliopsida; Solanales; Solanaceae.